GAUGAACGCUGGCGGCGUGCCUAACACAUGCAAGUCGAGCGAACGGACGAGAAGCUUGCUUUUCUGAUGUUAGCGGCGGACGUGUGAGUAACACGUGGAUAAUCUACCUAUAAGACUGGGAUAACUUCGGGAAACCGGAGCUAAUACCGGAUAAUAUCUUGAACCGUAUGGUUCAAAAGUGAAAGACGGUCUUGCUGUCACUUAUAGAUGGAUCCGCGCUGCAUUAGCUAGUUGGUAAGGUAACGGCUUACCAAGGCAACGAUGCAUAGCCGACCGGAGAGGGUGAUCGGCCACACUAGAACUGAGCCACGGUCCAGACUCCUACGAGAGGCAGCAGUAGGGAAUCUUCCGCAAUGGGCGGAAGCCUGACGGAGCAACGCCGCGUGGGUGAUGAAGGUCUUCGGAUCGUAAAACUCUGUUAUUAGGGAAGAACAUAUGUGUAAGUAACUGUACAGAUCUUGACGGUACCUAAUCAGAAAGCCACGGCUAACUACGUG
Molecule: ribosomal RNA, 497 nt
Filed under: uncultured bacterium
Lineage: Bacteria
Description: partial 16S ribosomal RNA
Rfam family: Bacterial small subunit ribosomal RNA
Source: RNAcentral